AUCAGGUUAGAACUUAGUUAAUCAGACUGAGAUUUCCAAAGUGGGAGUUAGGACUGCCAGUGGUGCAUGGAAGAGUCUGAGAAAAUGCUGUCCUCUUACCUUAGAUAAACAUGUCUGUGACGUGUAAUGGGAUCCAUCCUGAUAAUAUGAAGGAGUAUGGGCAGUUUAUUCUAGAAAUCAAGGUCUGGGCUUCCCAAAUAGAGUGAGCAGUAUGGAAGCUUCUGGAGGACUGCUCCUUCUAUCACCAUAAAGCAGCAUAAAACAGAUCAAAUUGGAGAACACUUGUAUCUACAAAAAGCCAAGCUGUCAACAUUAGACAGAUCAAUGAGACAGAAAGUUAACAAGGAUACCCAGGAAUUGAACUCAGCUCUGCAGCAAGUGGACCUAAUAGACAUCCACAGAACUCUCCACCCCAAAUCAACAGAAUAUACAUUUUUUUCAGCACCACACCACACCUACUCCAAAAUUGACCACGUAGUUGGAAGUAAAGCACUCCUCAGCAAAUGUAAAAGAACAGAAAUUAUAACAAACUGUCUCUCAGACC
This is a long non-coding RNA of Homo sapiens (human), 544 nucleotides long. The record is from Ensembl. NCBI's taxonomy places the organism in Eukaryota, Metazoa, Chordata, Mammalia, Primates, Hominidae.